RNAcentral lists this ribosomal RNA (253 nucleotides) under uncultured bacterium. Its description in RNAcentral is "partial 16S ribosomal RNA". It matches the Rfam family "Bacterial small subunit ribosomal RNA", at positions 524 to 776 of the family's 1533-position model. The record is from RNAcentral.
UACGAAGGGGGCUAGCGUUGUUCGGAAUCACUGGGCGUAAAGGGUGCGUAGGCGGGCCUUUAAGUCAGGGGUGAAAUCCUGGAGCUCAACUCCAGAACUGCCUUUGAUACUGAAGAUCUUGAGUUCGGGAGAGGUGAGUGGAACUGCGAGUGUAGAGGUGAAAUUCGUAGAUAUUCGCAAGAACACCAGUGGCGAAGGCGGCUCACUGGCCCGAUACUGACGCUGAGGCACGAAAGCGUGGGGAGCAAAAGGG